AACCAGUGCUGCCUGAAACAGCAUCAACCACAACAUGGCAUUGAUUUGUCUGUCCUUAGACCUCCUGAAAAGACAUGUAUUCCUUCGGCUGCUAGCAAGAGGAAGCCCUACAGAGACCAUCUAAUGAUGCUUAACCAUACUGACUACCUGCACUAAAUAUAAUACAGGAAGAUGAUGGUAAGGACAGCAGAACAGAGAUGGAAUAAGAUGCCAGUUCCAUGCAGGUCACAUUUAGCUCCAGAUUGUUUUCACAUCAGAUUUAGCUGGCAUCAUAUCCUAGGAUUCUGCACUUGGAGUGAACCA
Long non-coding RNA from Manacus vitellinus (golden-collared manakin), 303 nucleotides. RefSeq lists it as uncharacterized. The record is from RefSeq and is a predicted model, not a curated record. The transcript is spliced from 3 exons. NCBI's taxonomy places the organism in Eukaryota, Metazoa, Chordata, Aves, Passeriformes, Pipridae.